AGCGUCAAGUACCGUGAGGGAAAGUUGAAAAGUACUUUGAAGAGAGAGUAAACAGUGCGUGAAACCGGUCAGAGGUAAACAGGUGGAGUUGAACUGCAAGCUCUGGGAAUUCAGCUGGUGAGUGUGGUUUGAGCUUGGUUAAAUCGGUUGGACCCUGAAGUCUGUGUAGCAGCAGGCCUUCGCCUUUCGGGGUGGGGGUGCGCGAUGCACUUAUCAAGUGUUGUGCGCUUUGGGUGUUCUUCGGGCCGACUUGCCAGUGCACUUUCUCAGAGUAGUCACCACGACCGGCACUGCUGUCUGGCUGUUGUGGUUAAACCGGUCUUGCAUUGUCCUUGUGGCUCUGCUUGGUCGGGAUGGCAGGUAGCUCGUUGGCUUGCCUGUAGCUUGCUACGGGUAUUUGGUCUUCGAGUGUAAUCAGCUGACCGCAUCGGUUCUGUGCAGUGUGUCGGAGACGGCGGCUUUUGUGUGUGCGUGCGUGCCUGUUCGGCCGGCGUGUUCGAGUUUGGUUGUUAUGUUGCCUGUUUAUGCAGGCCUGAUGAUAGCUCGGAUUCGUUCGGUUGACGGUUGCGUGCGUGACACAGCUCAUGGGCCAAUAGUCUGUGGUGUAGUGGUAGACUAUCCACCUGACCCGUCUUGAAACACGGACCAAG
RNAcentral lists this ribosomal RNA (650 nucleotides) under Microphalloidea sp. BP-2017. RNAcentral describes it as "partial large subunit ribosomal RNA". It matches the Rfam family "Eukaryotic large subunit ribosomal RNA", at positions 339 to 670 of the family's 3401-position model. Lineage: Eukaryota; Metazoa; Platyhelminthes; Trematoda; Plagiorchiida. The record is from RNAcentral.